GCGGGGAUGUCCGAGUGGCCAAAGGAGGCAGGCUCAGGACCUGCUGGCGUAGGCCUGCGCGAGUUCGAAUCUCGCUCCCCGCACCA
RNAcentral lists this transfer RNA (86 nucleotides) under Candidatus Freyarchaeota archaeon. RNAcentral describes it as "tRNA-Leu". It matches the Rfam family "tRNA". Rfam says of the family: Transfer RNA (tRNA) molecules are approximately 80 nucleotides in length. Their secondary structure includes four short double-helical elements and three loops (D, anti-codon, and T loops). RNAcentral also lists the same sequence under 1 other name. Lineage: Archaea; Promethearchaeati; Candidatus Freyarchaeota. The record is from RNAcentral.